GGGAUUGCCUCAGUAACGGCGAGUGAAGCGGCAACAGCUCAAAUUUGAAAUCUGGCUCCUUCGGGGUCCGAAUUGUAAUUUGUAGAGAGUGCUUCGGGCGAGACCUCGGUCUAAGUCCAUUGGAACAUGGUGUCAUAGAGGGUGAGAAUCCCGUAUGCGACCGUGGCUCGAGCCCAUGUGAAGCCUCUUCGACGAGUCGAGUUGUUUGGGAAUGCAGCUCAAAAUGGGUGGUAAAUUUCAUCUAAAGCUAAAUACUGGCUGGAGACCGAUAGCGCACAAGUAGAGUGAUCGAAAGAUGAAAAGCACUUUGGAAAGAGAGUCAAACAGUACGUGAAAUUGUUGAAAGGGAAGCGCUUGCAACCAGACCUGCCCGUAGGCGAUCAGCCGCUGUUCUCAGCGGUGUACUCGCUCUGCGAUCAGGCCAGCAUCGGUUUCGGCGGUCGGAUAAAGACCUUGGGAAUGUAGCUUCCCUUCGGGGAAGUCUUAUAGCCCUCGGUGUAAUGCGGCCAGCCGGGACCGAGGACCGCGCUUCGGCUAGGAUGCUGGCGUAAUGGUUGUAAGCGACCCGUCUUGAAACACGGACCAAGGAGUCUAACAUCUAUGCGAGUGUUUGGGUGUCAAACCCAUACGCGGAAUGAAAGUGAACGGAGGUGAGAACCCUUAAGGGCGCAUCAUCGACCGAUCCAGAUGUCUUCGGAUGGAUUUGAGUAUGAGCAUAGCUGUUGGGACCCGAAAGAUGGUGAACUAUGCCUGAAUAGGGUGAAGCCAGAGGAAACUCUGGUGGAGGCUCGCAGCGGUUCUGACGUGCAAAUCGAUCGUCAAAUUUGGGUAUAGGGGCGAAAGACUAAUCG
This 851-nucleotide ribosomal RNA is filed under the name Xanthoparmelia maricopensis. Its description in RNAcentral is "eukaryotic LSU rRNA". It matches the Rfam family "Eukaryotic large subunit ribosomal RNA", at positions 71 to 937 of the family's 3401-position model. RNAcentral also lists the same sequence under 1 other name. The record is from RNAcentral. Lineage: Eukaryota; Fungi; Ascomycota; Lecanoromycetes; Lecanorales; Parmeliaceae.